Molecule: long non-coding RNA, 1422 nt
Organism: Lolium perenne
Lineage: Eukaryota; Viridiplantae; Streptophyta; Magnoliopsida; Poales; Poaceae
Source: RefSeq, a predicted model, not a curated record
CUCCCGAAUCAUCUCCUUCCUUUCUCUUCCACUAGCCUCCACGCCUGUGCCCAUGCUCAUGCCUGAUGCCUGCCAAAUCUCCAUGCCUGAAGUGGAGCUGCUCUAAAAUCUCCUCCAGUUCCCCGUGGCAGUCGGCCUCUCUCCAGCCCCGGAGGCCACCCCUUCCCAGGCCGGCGUCCACCUUCCCUUCCUCUUCCUAUUUCUCUAUCGCUGUGGCUUCCCCAUCUGAUGACGCGGGCUCCUAUUCCCGGCUGAUGUGCUGGUCAAACUGCGAGGUCGUGAGGGGCGUCUUUCCCCCGAGAUGGCGGUGGUAGUGCCUUCCCCGUCGUCCCGGCCGACGACUAUGUCGUCUCGCCUCCAUCGUGGCGGCCUAGCCCCAGCAACAUCGGCUUCUCAGGAUCUCGGCGUCUCUCCUCCACCAGCCUCAUCCCCAUGGAGCCGGUAAUGGCAUGCUUGCACUCCAGGGCGAUGCGGAUAAGGCCCGGCGGCCCUUGGCCAUCUCGCACACAAGCGUCUCGGUGGCCGUCAUGAGUUCGAGGAGAAACAACGGGCACGCGCGCUGAUCCAUCUAGAAUGUCUGCUGCAAGUUGUCGCCCUGGUGGCCAUACGGCGUGACGGUGAGCCACCGCCGAGGCGCAUCUGCCGGUGCCGACCGCAGACAUGCCGCUGCGUCUGGACCUUCCUCCCCUACCGCGGCGCCGGGGGGAGACGAAGUCCUCCAUCCACCAUGACCAAAUCCGCGUGCAGGUUCUUUUUUUCCCUCAAAUUGAUGUGGUGAUAGGUUAUUUGGCUAUGGAAGGAAACACAUGAGAUUUCACUUGGUGUAAUUCCUGGAGAAGCAGUGUCAGUAUCCAAUCUAGGGAUGGAUGCAGGUUUUAGCUCAUUUAGCAACAGAUCUUCUCUCUGUCUCAUUUGGAAAUGAUUAUCAUCAAGAUGGCCACCUCUCACCGCGUGCGUCCGGCAGCAGCCAGUAUUUGUUCAGGCAUGUCACCUCCUGGAGCCCUGGACUCAACAUGGAUCGAUCUGGCAGUAGUCUUUUUCAGAUCAGGCACUACACAUAGAGUCGGUCGAUCCGUGUGAUCGUCCUGCAGUUGGCUUCUCAACGAUUUGCAACCAAACAAACGAUUAAGUCGCCUAGAACCGAUCCACGUCCAUUAUAUUGAUGCAUAAAGCGAGAUGCAUGGCAGCAAACUCAAGAACGCAAUAAGGAGCCAAAGAGAGAAUGUGGUGGCAUCUGAGGGGAGGAUCCCACGACCUAUUUGGUGAUCUCCACAAAAACAUCUAAUGGAUCAAUCAGAUUAGCGGGGAAUGAGCCAGACCUGCUUAUUUAAUUUUCUCAGCAACAGCUAUAGUAAACAUCGUACUGAUAGAUAUACCCUAGCUGUGUCAUUUUUCAAAAAACAAUCAUGUAUGGUGUUUCCC